GGAGAGGUGGCAGAGUGGUCGAAUGCACCGGAUUCGAAAUCCGGCAUACGGGUCUCCCGUAUCGGGGGUUCGAAUCCCCCCCUCUCCGCCA
Molecule: transfer RNA, 91 nt
Filed under: Rubrivivax sp.
Lineage: Bacteria; Pseudomonadati; Pseudomonadota; Betaproteobacteria; Burkholderiales; Sphaerotilaceae
Also listed under: 3 other names
Description: tRNA-Ser
Rfam family: tRNA
About the family: Transfer RNA (tRNA) molecules are approximately 80 nucleotides in length. Their secondary structure includes four short double-helical elements and three loops (D, anti-codon, and T loops).
Source: RNAcentral